Molecule: transfer RNA, 73 nt
Filed under: Candidatus Nasuia deltocephalincola
Lineage: Bacteria; Pseudomonadati; Pseudomonadota; Betaproteobacteria
Description: Candidatus Nasuia deltocephalinicola tRNA-Pro
Rfam family: tRNA
About the family: Transfer RNA (tRNA) molecules are approximately 80 nucleotides in length. Their secondary structure includes four short double-helical elements and three loops (D, anti-codon, and T loops). Further hydrogen bonds mediate the characteristic L-shaped molecular structure. tRNAs have two regions of fundamental functional importance: the anti-codon, which is responsible for specific mRNA codon recognition, and the 3' end, to which the tRNAs corresponding amino acid is attached (by aminoacyl-tRNA synthetases). tRNAs cope with the degeneracy of the genetic code in two manners: having more than one tRNA (with a specific anti-codon) for a particular amino acid; and 'wobble' base-pairing, i.e. permitting non-standard base-pairing at the 3rd anti-codon position.
Source: RNAcentral
CGGAGUGUAGCGUAGUUGGUAGCGCAUCUGAUUUGGGAUCAGAAGAUCAUAGGUUCAAGUCCUAUCUCUCCGA